Molecule: ribosomal RNA, 650 nt
Filed under: Clistobothrium grimaldii
Lineage: Eukaryota; Metazoa; Platyhelminthes; Cestoda; Phyllobothriidea; Phyllobothriidae
Description: Monorygma grimaldii partial 28S large subunit ribosomal RNA
Source: RNAcentral
AAACAGUACGUGAAACCGCAUGCAGGUAAACGGGUGGCGUCAAGCUGCAAGCCCGGAGGAUUCAGCUGGCUAGGAUGUUGUGUAUGCGCCUGGCGCAUCUAUCAGCCGGAGUAAGAUGUGAUAGUCCACUGGUAAACGGUGGGCCCGGCCGCAAGGUUGGGAUAUGUGUACCGGGCGGAAGCCGGAGCAUGCUAUUCGUCUGUUGGGCUGUCUAGUCAGUGCACUUUCUCUGUGGUGAACACCACGACCGGUGGAAUUGCCAGUCUGCUGUAGUCAAGUCGUAUUCAGUCGGUUCUUGUAGCCAACUGGGUGCGAUCACAGGCAAACUCAGUAAACGGCGUAGGGGUGUCUCGGCAUCCUUGCGUGUUAUCGGCUGCUGGUUGUCAACGGGCCUGCCUGAUGAUUGUUGUAACCGUCAUUGGGUGGUCUGGUGGGCUAUGGUGGUAAGAAUAACUGUGCAAGGCAUCGGAGUUCUCGGCCUCAAAUGCAUCCUGCAUACACGUUACAAGUGGAGUGGGGUGCCAUUGCAGCCUGCCUGUUGUUGGGUCUGAUUGUCGUGUCGCCUGCGCAAAGUGGGCCCGGCAGUGGCCUGAUGCGGGAUGGGUUGUGGAUGGUGCUUCCUGUGUAGGGUGCGGUGGGUCAAAUAGUCA